RNAcentral lists this ribosomal RNA (216 nucleotides) under uncultured Glomeromycotina. RNAcentral's name for it is "partial small subunit ribosomal RNA". The stretch from base 39 to 216 matches the Rfam family "Eukaryotic small subunit ribosomal RNA", at positions 685 to 864 of the family's 1831-position model. The record is from RNAcentral. Lineage: Eukaryota; Fungi; Glomeromycota.
GGGUCAGCAGGUUGGUCGUGCCACUGGUAUGCACUGGCUUCGCUGAUUCCUCCUUUCUGAAGAACUGUAAUGUCAUUAAUUUGGUGUUGCAGGGAAACAGGACUGUUACUUUGAAAAAAUUAGAGUGUUUAAAGCAGGCUAACGCUUGAAUACAUUAGCAUGGAAUAAUGAAAUAGGACGUUCGAUCCUAUUUUGUUGGUUUCUAGGAUUGACGUA